GACGAACGCUGGCGGCGUGCUUAACACAUGCAAGUCGUACGGUAAGGCCCUUUCGGGGGUACACGAAUGGCGAACGGGUGAGUAACACGUGAGUAACCUGCCCACAACUUUGGGAUAACGCUAGGAAACUGGUGCUAAUACUGGAUAUGUGCUCCUGCUGCAUGGUGGGGGUUGGAAAGCUCCGGCGGUUGUGGAUGGACUCGCGGCCUAUCAGCUUGUUGGUGGGGUAGUGGCCUACCAAGGCGGCGACGGGUAGCCGGCCUGAGAGGGUGACCGGCCACAUUGGGACUGAGAUACGACCCAGACUCCUACGGGAGGCAGCAGUGGGGAAUAUUGCACAAUGGGCGCAAGCCUGAUGCAGCAACGCCGCGUGCGGGAUGACGGCCUUCGGGUUGUAAACCGCUUUCAGCAGGGACGAAGCUUUUUGUGACGGUACCUGCAGAAGAAGCACCGGCUAACUACGUG
Molecule: ribosomal RNA, 465 nt
Filed under: uncultured bacterium
Lineage: Bacteria
Description: partial 16S ribosomal RNA
Rfam family: Bacterial small subunit ribosomal RNA
Source: RNAcentral